GACGAACGCUGGCGGCGUGCUUAACACAUGCAAGUCGAACGGAAAGGCCCUGCUUGCAGGGUACUCGAGUGGCGAACGGGUGAGUAACACGUGGGUGAUCUGCCCUGCACUUCGGGAUAAGCCUGGGAAACUAGGUCUAAUACCGGAUAGGAGCCAUUUUUAGUGUGAUGGUUGGAAAGUUUUUUCGGUGUAGGAUGAGCUCGCGGCCUAUCAGCUUGUUGGUGGGGUAAUGGCCUACCAAGGCGGCGACGGGUAGCCGGCCUGAGAGGGUGGACGGCCACAUUGGGACUGGGAUACGGCCCAGACUCCUACGGGAGGCAGCAGUGGGGAAUAUUGCACAAUGGGCGCAAGCCUGAUGCAGCGACGCCGCGUGGGGGAUGACGGCCUUCGGGUUGUAAACUCCUUUCGCUAGGGACGAAGCUUUUUGUGACGGUACCUAGAUAAGAAGCACCGGCUAACUACGUG
This 465-nucleotide ribosomal RNA is filed under the name uncultured bacterium. RNAcentral's name for it is "partial 16S ribosomal RNA". It matches the Rfam family "Bacterial small subunit ribosomal RNA", at positions 28 to 507 of the family's 1533-position model. The record is from RNAcentral.